CUUAAACAAGAUAAAGUUUAUUUUUCUCACAUAAACAAAAUCCAGAGAUGAGCAAUCCGGGCUGGCAUGGCAGCUCCACCGUCAUCUGGACCCCAGGCUCCUUCUCUCUUGUUGCUCCAUGUCCUCAACCUGUGGCUUCCACCUUUCAGCCCAAGAUGGCUGCUUGAGCUCAAGCUGUUAUAUUCACAUUUCAGCCAGCAGGAAGGAGGAAAGGGGGGGAGAAGGAACUUCCUCUGGACCCUUCCUUUGACAUGGAUUUGGUCAGAACUUAGUAUCACAUUUACUCCUAACUGGGAAGCAUUUCAGAGGGCCGUGUGUCCGGCUAAAAAAUAGGGAUUGUAUUACUAUAUAAGAAGGGAAGAACAGAUAGCAGGAUACAAGAGGAGUCUCUGUACAAAAGUUGCAGGUCCGUCUAGUUGUGGCAUGUGGGACGCUGCCUCAACGUGGCCUGACGAGUGACGCCAUGUCCGCGCCCAGGAUCCGAACCAGCAAAACCCUGGGCCACCGAAGCGGAGUGCGAGAACUUAACCACUCGGCCACAGGGCCGGCCCCUAAGGGAGGUUUAAGAUUGAAUUAUUUGGGCUGCACUUUUACUGUUAUGAUGGGAAUUCUGGAAACGGUUUUAAUUGUUUGAAAGAUUAAGGCCAAUGAGCCACAGACUGGGAG
Molecule: long non-coding RNA, 666 nt
Filed under: Equus caballus (horse)
Lineage: Eukaryota; Metazoa; Chordata; Mammalia; Perissodactyla; Equidae
Description: lncRNA (ENSECAG00000054648.1)
Source: RNAcentral